GUAACACCCCUGGUGUUACGUAAACUAAAACUCUGACAUGUCAUCAUAAGCAUCUGCAUUAAUGUGCUUGUUACACCUAGAAUGCAUUUACUAGGUUAAAAUUUUCUUUUCAAAAGUGUGAUGUCGUGUGUUGAGUAUAGGACUUAGGUUGAAAACCUUGCUUGAAAUUGUGGAUAAACAAAAUAACUCCGAAAUCAAGGACUUGUUCGGAAGGAGCUACAUAUGCUAAAGUUGGAUCUUAGACUAGAGAGUAACUUUGUUUCUAAUGGAUGGAUCAAAGGGAUGAAUCCCUGGAAGAAUCUGAAACACAAAUGAAACUCAUUUGAAACCCUAAAACUAGCCCAAAAGGGGAAUUCAAAAUCUAGAAGGAUUUAGCUAAAAGUCUAUAUACCAAGGUUGUAGGACUUGGAAAAGUGAACAAAUUUCAUAUUUGGAGAUUCCUAAGUUGUGUGGAAGAAUUUGGAGUUAAGUACAAAAAUUCAGUUUUGGGUUCAUUUUGGAAUUGCUGAAAAUAAUAUAAACUAGACAACUUUGGACCCUUGUAACUUCUGAUCUAAAACUAUUUUGAAGAUGAUCAUUAUAACAAAGUCAUAGAGCUACAUGAGGAGUACAAGUUUGGUUAAGUCACCUAGCCCUAACACUCUAUGGAACUUGGAGAAAAACUAGUCCAAUGUAGAGCUGUCAGAAAUUGUAGAUUUCAGACUUAGUGAAAUUCAGAUUCUGAAUUUCAGCAAUUGGAGCAAACUUUGGGCUAUUGUAGUUUGGAAUUCAAGAGGUUUUAGUUAAUGGUUACUAUAUCAAACUUGUAGAGGAACUAUUGGAGUAUAAACUUUAUUAAGCAACUUGCCCCUAUAAACAUUUGGAACCCAGGAAAAAGAGUGGUUCCAAGUGGUGCUGCUGUAUUUCUGAAUUUUCAGAUUGGAAACAGUAACUGAAACUGAAUUUCAGUGUUUUGAUAGCAGUUUUGAAGCCUAUUUGUGGUUGUUCUAUAAUGUUUUGUGCUAUGGUAUUUAUAGAGAAGUUGAAGCCCAUAUGAUGGUGAACAAGUUUCUUUAAGUGACUUUGGCUUCUUUCCACAUAAAAAGUGGAUAAAAAUGCCCCCAAAAUCAGCUGCUAGGCAUUCCUAUAACUGAAUUUGGUUCAGUUCUGAAAACUGAAAUUUGUUGUAUGGUGCCGAGUUUGGAGCCCUUUUGUGGUUGUUUAUAAGGUUUUGGACUGAGAUUUCUAUAGAGGAAUUGAAGACCAUAUAUUGGUGAACAUCUUCUUUAAAGGUAAUGGACAUGAUCCUAUACGAAAAUUGGAGUAACAGCUGCUCCAAGUUUGACUGUCAGGUGGUUGGUGACUUAGUUUAUUCAGAACUGAAAGUCUGAAGUCAAUAUUUUUAGUGCAGUUUUGGAGCUGUGUAGUGCCUAUUCUAGGUGGUUUUGAACCAAAGUUUCUGCAGCAAGUUUUAAGACCAUAUCUAGGAGAACAAACUUGUUUAAGCACUACUGGGUUGGUGCUACACAAAUUUGGGAGAGAAGUUAGCUCCAAGAUGGGCUGUCAGGUUGCUUUGACUGAAAUUUUUGUUCAGUUCACUGAAACCGAAAUUCAGUAAAAGGUACUAAUUUUGGAGCUCAUUUGUGGCUAAUCCAUUUGGUUUUGGGCUAAAUUUUCUGUAUCACAUUUGAAGACCAGAGUACAUUGAACAAGUUUUAUAUAGUGAGGUGGACUUGAUGCUGCACAAAACUGGGAGAAAAAGGUGUUCAAACUACCUCUGUCAGAUUGGUGCAGAUCAGGUCUGAUGCAGUGACUGUGGUUUUGGUUUAGUGUUUUCCCUAGAUUUUAGAGUUAAUUUGUGGUUGAUCCAAGGGGUAUAAGUCUAUGGCCUCUGUGGAGAUAAGUUAGAGGGUUAGUUGGUGAACAAAGUUCACCAAGAUUGAUUCCGUGAUGUUGCUUGGAAGUAGAAGAAAUGAAAGGGUGGAAGGAGGGGUUCUGUUAAGCUGUGGUAGUUCAGUGUUGGUCAAAAGGAAUCUGAAAAAGAUCACCCCCUGCUGCUCUCACCUAUGAGCUUGGAUGGGGAUAAGGUUGAAAGGUGUCACUAAAGAUCUAGAGAACAUUCACUAGUGCAAAAUAUCCAAGUUGGACUGCAGUGAGCAGUGGGGUGUUUAAUUGUUUCAGUUGUCGCUUGCAGUUGGGGACAAAGGGGAUAUUUGUGUGUGUAGUUGAGAUGAGUAUGGAGUGUAGGAUUGAGGUCUUAAGACACCACCCUCUGCUGGACGAAAUAUCAAGGCUUUGAACCUGUUGGAACCUAUCCACAAGUGAUAUUUGGGUGCUGUAAUUGGGAGAUGACCACAUUCAAUGUCUUUGAGCUGUGCUGUGAACCUGUGUGGCAGUGAGCAUGUGAGCCACGUAAUGAAGUGCAUGUGUGGCUGGCACCCUGAGAACACAACUCCACUGCAUGCUGGACAGGUUCAUGGGACAUCUGCCCAUUUCAGCAAGCUUAAAAGGCAGGGUCCAGUGAGGUUUCCUCCCUGUCUCAAGCUCUAUUUUCAGACCACGGAAAGGAGAAUAGAGUUCUUGUGCUCAUACUAGAGAUAACUCUCUUCCCAGUCUCUAGCCUUGAUCUGAACCAGAGCCAAGCACGCCAGCCCUCUGCGUGGUGACCAUUGUCCACAUCACCGUGGCCAGGUAAUCUCAAGAGCUUUCUCAGCUGUGUGGUAUAUGUUCCAUGUUCUAAAUCGAUCAGUGAAGCUCACACCAUUUACUAUUUGAACUCUACCACUGUAUGUUGCUGGGAACUAGGUGUAAAAUUCACUCAAAAAUAGGCUGUCAGGUUUUUGGUUCCUAGACUUAGCGCAGAAAGCUGAAACCAGGUUUUAGUGUGUUGAGCUCAAUUUUGGAGCUCUAUUGUGCCCAGUCUAUUUGGUUUUGGGCCAAAGUUUUGUAGCAAGUUUGAAGACCAUAGUAAGAUGAACAAAAUUACUAAUGGGAGAUGGGCUUGGUGCUACACAAAAUUGGAAGUAAAACAUGUCCAAAUAUUCUCUGCCAGACAUAAUAAAUGCUGAUUCAGAACACUAAAAUGGGGUUGCAGUGGUUUUGGCUCUACUUUGGUGCUUCAUAAAAAUUGUUCUGAAUGUUUUAAACCUAGGGGUACUAUACCAAAGUAGUAGAGCUAUAUCUAAGGAAUAACUUUGGUAAUGUGAGCUUGGUCUGCUGCUGUGUAAAAAUUAGAGCAAAGGUUGGCUAAAGUUGGACUGUGAGGCCGGACACAUAACUGAAUUUUGUAUUCAGUUCUGAGAACUGAAUUGCAGCAGGAUGCCUAGUUUGGAAUUCAUUUGUGACUGAUUCAUGGGGUUUUGGAUUAAGGGUUCCAUAGCAAAGUUGUAGACCAUAGUAAAGUGAACAAGUUUUCUAAAGUGAGAUGGACCUGAUUUCACAUAAAUUUGGGAGUAAAAGUAGCCAAAAGGUGGACUGUCAGGUGUUAGAAUUCAGACUUAGAAUAAUAUUUAAGUCUGAAUUUGUGUGUUUUUAUUUAAUUUGGGUCCUUGUGGUUAUUAAUCCAAGAAGAAUUAGUGUAGGAGUGUUAUAGCAAAGUGAAAGACCAUGUUAUAAGGAACAAAUCUCUUUAAGCAAGUUAGGCUUGAAUCCACAUAAAGAUGGAAAUAACAGCUGUCCAAAACUGGACUGUCAGAGUGCCUGUGACUGAAUUUUAUUCAGUUAGCUGAAAUAGCAGUUCAGUGUGAGUUAGUGCUUUGGAAACAAGAUAAGUUUAUCUAGGGAAGAGAUAAAGUUGCUUAAGAAGUUUUAAGCUUUUGGAUGAGAUAUAAGUUGGAUUAAUUCCCUGGUUUACCUAAGUGAUUUCAAAUUGGUCACUUUAAUCGAGCGAUAAGAAAUAGGUGUAUUCUUGUCAUGUGCUUUAGUUGUAGUGUUUCUGUUCUCCACCUCUCCUUGUGAGAGUUUGCAUUACAUGGCAUUCAUUCUUAUAUACACCUAUAUAUGGUUAUGUUUAGAAAACGAAGAAGAGAUCGAAGUGACUGAAGAAAAGACAUCACCACCUUUGGAAUCUCAGGCAGAGACUUGGCUCUACUUCGACAUCUGCGAGUCCGAGCCUGACUCACCUACUAACAAAGGCAAGCCCCGGUGCAUGCAACCCCUUUCCUUGUGUUUUUAAAUACUUUUCGCACACUUUAAGUCUAGUGAAAUGUGCAUUAGGGUCAUAGGAGUUGUUUGAAACCCUUUGAUGCAUUGCUUUCCUUGAUAUCCAUACCUUUAUAGAUACUUCUGUAAAGUAUCAAAAUAUGAUUUACAAAAAUGCUUAGCCUUGCUUAGAUCUUGUGGAUAGAGGUUGUCCUCAAUUUAACCCGGGAGAGGAUGGCUUCUACCUGCAAGAAUAUUUUCAUUUGGAGCAAUAGUGGGAUCUUACUGCAAAGUUCCCUGUGAUGCUCUUUCAUCCUAAGGAACAGACACAAUCCUAAGGAUGGAAAUACUUAAACUGAGACUUGGGUUAGGAACAGGUGAUGUUCUACCCAGGUUGGUUAAGGAUUAACGCGUAUGUAGGCGUGCUGACCGAGGACCCUUUAACUGGUCACAUGCCUCGUCAUGGGUAAGCCUUGCCUCGGGCAGACUAAGGCCGGAAUAAGAUAACACGAAAUGGGCGUGGAGCGGUGGCGAGAGUAGCGUGUACCCUCCGUGGCAAGAGGCUGGACGGUGGUGUAUCUGUGCUCUCGGUUUGCGUGAACCUGAUCCGGUCUUAAGAACCCCGGUGGCGGGUUGACAUAUGCAAGGGUUAAGUGCUACAUAUGUCGUGUGAUUGGAGAUCCUCAGCUGAGUAUAAUCGAUUCGGAUCGCCGUACCUUCGCGGUUAUGAAGACUUGGUCACUUCCCUGCAACCUAAAGUCAGGAUGUGAACACUAUGGAUAAAAAUGAUGUUGUAUUGAUGAGAUGUUGAAAUUAGACUAGAUGCAAAUAGAGUCUAUUAAUACUUAAUAUGGCGUUAAAAGAUUGAAAGUAAGGACUCACUUUAGUAAGCUACUUCUGCAAAAGUAUAAGUUGAUUUUUGCUAAAGCCUCUCCUUGACUCUUAUUUAUCCAGCAUACCCUUGAGAGUCUUUUCCUUAGUCGGGUAAGACUUGCUGAGUAAUUCCAUACUCAGGGUUUAUCCCUUUGUUGUUUUUAGGUGAGGAAGCGACAAAUUUUUGUUGCUUUUGCUCCAAGGUGGUAUCAAAUGAAGAAAAACAAAAGUGAAGAUGCGGGAGGACGUGGUCCUCCAUAUAGGAUCUUUUUGUUUUAAAGCUUUCGGGAGGAGUUUUUGUCUCCCUUGAUAUGUGUAAUAAUACUACUCAGCACUCGUUUAUAGCUCUGGUCUGUAAUAAGUAACUUGAUCUUACUUUCUAAAUAAAUGUAAGUUUAUGUAAUUGCUUCCGCACUUCUAUAUCUCCGAUGUUCUGUAAUGUCUGCAAGACGGGUGAGACGUUCCUGGUGAGGUAAGGAAAGAUACCGAACUUGUCAAGUGACUUAGGAACAUCUACAGGGUGUCUGAUGUCCGUUGGACAAGGACAACUGUAGGUGGGCCUAAUUACUUGGGAGGUUCCGUCACAGCUGGUAUCGGAGCGUAGCCCUUCUCUGCAGAUACUAUCAGACAUCUUCAAAAGAUUUUCUAAACAAACUUACCUAGAAAAUUUCUUCCUUUCUUACCUAAGUAAUUCUGAAGAGUUUAUUUUAAAGACCAGAUAGGAAGAGUGCAAUGUAUAGAAGGUGUGAAUCAACUAAUGUUGAUUCUGUAAUUACACAUGCAUCAUGUCAUACAAACUUUAAGUUAAACCCCCUGUGUAGCUAUUUUAGUGUAUGAAUCAUCUACCUUGUUCAUACAUCUUUAGUGAAUAGAGUGUAUCCGUUGCCCUUCUCUAUAGAUGAAUCAACAAGAAGCUCCUACAGGAGUUGGAGAGUUUCUUCGAGAUUUUGGUGUUCUAGUGGUCCUGUGGCGACUACUUCAAGAAUUUGGAUAUACCGAAGCACCUAAGUACCAGUGGUCACACACUGUUCUUAGAGGACAACCAUGGUAUGAGGUAGUAGUGCGUAUUCUAGAACGUGCUAGAAAGCCAUCUUGGCCACAUUGGAUGUUCCAUGCUGAAGGAAUGACUCCUUGGGAGGGUGCUCAGGUAGCUGCCUUAGAGGCGCUAACAACCAUUUGUUACCAGAAAUGGGAGGAAAUACAAGUCACAUCUAUGAGGUUGUUCCCUGCAGUUGCCUUAAGUGACCCAUUGGUGUAUCAUCACCAGGCCCGAUUAUUGGAAGCAUUCCUAUUGGGCAGGAUUCUGUAGAAUCGGCAUCUGCUCGAGUAUUGAUGGCCGUGCUAGAGUUGCAGCUUACUCGAGGGCACAAUCGUCAAAUGUGGCAGCAGUUGUACACUGGGAGUUAUGCAACAUUUAAGAUGAUGGAAAUGGCCAAGAAUAGGGCUUGUACCCAGGCACAAGAACAACUGGAGGACACAAAGAUUCAAGCUGAGCGAAUUAUUGGAUUAGAGCAUCAGGUGACAGAACUUCAGACGCAACACCAAGCUGAUCAGAAUUGCAUUAAGGAGCUUGAGCAUCAGCUAACUAAUGCUCAUUCUAAAUCAAAAGUUCUGAGUCAGCAACAAGAAGAAAUUCGCUUGGGUGCUAUUGCUAUUAGCGAAGACCUUAAGGAAACCCUAAGCUUCAUAAGCCAUCAGGAUCAGGCGAUCCAGGAAUUGAAUCGUGCUCAUCCAAUGGAAUUUCAAGUAGCGCAACGGCUUGUCAACCAUCUGCAGCAAGCAGUGCAUAUGCUCAAUGUUGCCUUUUAUCCUACUCCGGCAUCAGCGGACUAAGGGUUCCUUGGAAGAAUGGCAACAAGUAUCUGGCAGAUGGUGUAGCUAGAGAAGAUGUAAUAGGCAACUGGGAGUGUAGCGAAGUAGAUCAAUGUAAUAAGGUAGGUGUAAGAUAGACCUGCUUGGUAAUAAAAACAGGUUAAACUUUGUUGAAAAGAGUUUUCCUGUUUCACCUGGAUCAUGUAACAUGUGAGCUUUUCUAUGACUAUGGUGUAAGAAACAACUGCCUGUUUCAGAAGCAACUUUUAAUAUCUAUAGCCGUUUGUCGAAUCCCAAGAGUUAAAAUGGCUAUUCCUUUGGAUAUUCCCUGUGGAUGCACGUGUGUGGAUAAAUGACUUGGUAUACGCUGGUACCAUAGUUUCUAGUUGUGUUCCGUGAUGAAAUGGUACCACCUAAUUUCCCAUGUGAAUUUGGACAAAUGGAUAGACUUUAUCCAAAACAAAUUAGAUGCAGCAUCUUGGAUAAAACACAGAAAGAUAUCAAGUCUUACGGGGUACAGUGGAACUACCCCACAGAAGAUGAAGCCAUGUAGAAGGUCUGAGGGGUAUUUAGAAGACAAAGUCCUUGCCCUAAGUUUCGAGUUUUUGGAAAACCUUAGGGUUUGUGAAUUUUAAACCAACAGUGGCACGCCCCCUGUUUGGUAGGAGAAAUUGGGAAAUAACUUUGUGACACAUUUCUUUUUUCCGUUACUGAGCCUAAACUUUUAAAUCUCGGGACGAGAUUUCUUUUAGGGGGAAGGCUGUAACACCCCUGGUGUUACGUAAACUAAAACUCUGACAUGUCAUCAUAAGCAUCUGCAUUAAUGUGCUUGUUACACCUAGAAUGCAUUUACUAGGUUAAAAUUUUCUUUUCAAAAGUGUGAUGUCGUGUGUUGAGUAUAGGACUUAGGUUGAAAACCUUGCUUGAAAUUGUGGAUAAACAAAAUAACUCCGAAAUCAAGGACUUGUUCGGAAGGAGCUACAUAUGCUAAAGUUGGAUCUUAGACUAGAGAGUAACUUUGUUUCUAAUGGAUGGAUCAAAGGGAUGAAUCCCUGGAAGAAUCUGAAACACAAAUGAAACUCAUUUGAAACCCUAAAACUAGCCCAAAAGGGGAAUUCAAAAUCUAGAAGGAUUUAGCUAAAAGUCUAUAUACCAAGGUUGUAGGACUUGGAAAAGUGAACAAAUUUCAUAUUUGGAGAUUCCUAAGUUGUGUGGAAGAAUUUGGAGUUAAGUACAAAAAUUCAGUUUUGGGUUCAUUUUGGAAUUGCUGAAAAUAAUAUAAACUAGACAACUUUGGACCCUUGUAACUUCUGAUCUAAAACUAUUUUGAAGAUGAUCAUUAUAACAAAGUCAUAGAGCUACAUGAGGAGUACAAGUUUGGUUAAGUCACCUAGCCCUAACACUCUAUGGAACUUGGAGAAAAACUAGUCCAAUGUAGAGCUGUCAGAAAUUGUAGAUUUCAGACUUAGUGAAAUUCAGAUUCUGAAUUUCAGCAAUUGGAGCAAACUUUGGGCUAUUGUAGUUUGGAAUUCAAGAGGUUUUAGUUAAUGGUUACUAUAUCAAACUUGUAGAGGAACUAUUGGAGUAUAAACUUUAUUAAGCAACUUGCCCCUAUAAACAUUUGGAACCCAGGAAAAAGAGUGGUUCCAAGUGGUGCUGCUGUAUUUCUGAAUUUUCAGAUUGGAAACAGUAACUGAAACUGAAUUUCAGUGUUUUGAUAGCAGUUUUGAAGCCUAUUUGUGGUUGUUCUAUAAUGUUUUGUGCUAUGGUAUUUAUAGAGAAGUUGAAGCCCAUAUGAUGGUGAACAAGUUUCUUUAAGUGACUUUGGCUUCUUUCCACAUAAAAAGUGGAUAAAAAUGCCCCCAAAAUCAGCUGCUAGGCAUUCCUAUAACUGAAUUUGGUUCAGUUCUGAAAACUGAAAUUUGUUGUAUGGUGCCGAGUUUGGAGCCCUUUUGUGGUUGUUUAUAAGGUUUUGGACUGAGAUUUCUAUAGAGGAAUUGAAGACCAUAUAUUGGUGAACAUCUUCUUUAAAGGUAAUGGACAUGAUCCUAUACGAAAAUUGGAGUAACAGCUGCUCCAAGUUUGACUGUCAGGUGGUUGGUGACUUAGUUUAUUCAGAACUGAAUGUCUGAAAUCAAUAUUUUUAGUGCAGUUUUGGAGCUGUGUAGUGCCUAUUCUAGGUGGUUUUGAACCAAAGUUUCUGCAGCAAGUUUUAAGACCAUAUCUAGGAGAACAAACUUGUUUAAGCACUACUGGGUUGGUGCUACACAAAUUUGGGAGAGAAGUUAGCUCCAAGAUGGGCUGUCAGGUUGCUUUGACUGAAAUUUUUGUUCAGUUCACUGAAACCGAAAUUCAGUAAAAGGUACUAAUUUUGGAGCUCAUUUGUGGCUAAUCCAUUUGGUUUUGGGCUAAAUUUUCUGUAUCACAUUUGAAGACCAGAGUACAUUGAACAAGUUUUAUAUAGUGAGGUGGACUUGAUGCUGCACAAAACUGGGAGAAAAAGGUGUUCAAACUACCUCUGUCAGAUUGGUGCAGAUCAGGUCUGAUGCAGUGACUGUGGUUUUGGUUUAGUG
This 9377-nucleotide long non-coding RNA is filed under the name Zea mays. RNAcentral describes it as "long non-coding RNA (ZMAY_LNC000473)". Lineage: Eukaryota; Viridiplantae; Streptophyta; Magnoliopsida; Poales; Poaceae. The record is from RNAcentral.